RNAcentral lists this long non-coding RNA (344 nucleotides) under Daucus carota (carrot). RNAcentral's name for it is "long non-coding RNA (DCAR_LNC000987)". The record is from RNAcentral. Lineage: Eukaryota; Viridiplantae; Streptophyta; Magnoliopsida; Apiales; Apiaceae.
CUGAUUGAUAAAAUCUGAUGACAUUCUCUGAUGAUAUACUCUGUUUGCUUUACUCUGAUAACAUUCUCUGACAAUAUUCUCUGAUGCUUAUAAAACUCUGAAUCUUGAUAAAUGAUCUCAUUUUUUUUAUCUUCUCUGAGACAAAACACCUAUGAAGAUACCAUGAAGCAUGUUCUGAAUGAGUAAUCAUGAAUCUCAGCUAAGUUCCUCAAUCCUGAUCUCAAUUUUGUGCUACAUUAGUUCACUAUGCAUGUUGAUAUCAUUGAGACUCUACUACUUCACAUAUCUUAAUUAUAAGUGAGACUGAUUAAUUUAAAUUUUCUCUCAUAUACUAGACAGUGAUU